Molecule: long non-coding RNA, 2165 nt
Organism: Astatotilapia calliptera (eastern happy)
Lineage: Eukaryota; Metazoa; Chordata; Actinopteri; Cichliformes; Cichlidae
Source: Ensembl
GUAGUCAGUGUGUAGUUAGUGUGUAGUUAGUGUGUAGUUAGUGUGUAGUGUAGUUAGUGUGUAGUGUAGUCAGUGUGUAGUUAGUGUGUAGUUAGUGUGUAGUUAGUGUGUAGUGUAGUUAGUGUGUAGUGUAGUUAGUGUGUAGUGUAGUCAGUGUGUAGUUAGUGUGUAGUUAGUGUGUAGUUAGUUUAGUGUGUAGUUAGUGUGUAGUGUAGUUAGUGUGUAGUGUAGUCAGUGUGUAGUUAGUGUGUAGUUAGUGUGUAGUUAGUGUGUAGUGUAGUUAGUGUGUAGUGUAGUUAGUGUGUAGUGUAGUCAGUGUGUAGUUAGUGUGUAGUUAGUGUGUAGUUAGUGUGUAGUGUAGUUAGUGUGUAGUUAGUGUGUAGUUAGUGUGUAGUGUAGUUAGUGUGUAGUGUAGUUAGUGUGUAGUGUAGUCAGUGUGUAGUUAGUGUGUAGUUAGUGUGUAGUUAGUGUGUAGUGUAGUUAGUGUGUAGUGUAGUCAGUAGUGUUGUUGUGUGUCAGAACAAUGAGGCGCCUGCUGAGUGUUACAGGUGUUACAGCAGUGACACAUCUGCUGCUGUCAGGCCUGCAGGUAUCAGGCUGUUGUUCUCCCUCAUCUCAUAGUGGACAGAAAUUAUUUUUUGGAGCGGCACAAAUAAUUUGUGUGGCAUCAGAUUUGAUGCAGAACAGCUGAUUGUUCUGUAAAUAGUUUGAAAUUUUUGUGUAAAAACGCCUAACUUUAAAAACUUUAAAAAAAAGUUGUGUUUUCAAAAUUGGAGUUCAAGUUAUUUUUACUUCCAAUAGUGUUAACAUGCUGCACAGGUCAUGGACAAGAUUUUAUUUUUUAUUGUCAGUGGGCUAAAGCAGUUAAUUAAAAGUAGUGUAACAUAAAUGCUGUAAUCUGAUUACUUUAAUAAACAUGUAACUUGGAUGGAUUGGAUGCUGGCGUGACCACAGUGCACACGUCUGCUGUUGCUCACAGUGGUUCAAGGGGACGCUCAGGGAGUUUGUGUGUUCAGACACAUGAAACAUUAGAGGGAACGUUGGUCACGACAUUAAAUGUUGCAAAUAGUUCUGUAAUUUUCCCAGACAAUGACAACAUGUGAAGUAUGCACAACUAAUUACUGUAGUUUUGAGAAAAAAAACAUUUGUUUCCACUUGAAAAGCUUAUUACAUUGUGGUUGAAUAAAAUAAGUGAUAAGUGUUCAUUUUGUUACAGAGCACAGCAUGGUGGGAAAGGAUGGAGAGAAUCCCCCACUAAGCUUUCGGGUUGGCAUUACUUUAGAUUUUGUUUUGUAUUAAUUGCAUGCUUUGGUGUUUCUUUGUGUUUGAUGUGAGGUGUGGGCCACACCCAUGUGGGAGUGGAGACUCUGCUCUAGUCCAGCUGCCAGCUGUUUGGAGUUGAGUACAGGGAGCAGCUGAUUGGGGAGGAUUGGAGCCCUUCUCUAUAAAGGGAAGAGGAAACAGGAAGCGGGGGUUGUUGUUGUUUUUAGUAGGACACUGGUGCAGCAGUGAAGCCUCGAAGAUCCAGGAUGAAGUGUGCAUAUUUUAACGGUAAAGAUUUUUAACCUGGCCUGGUUUGGCUUUUAAAAUAAUCUGAGGAUGUUGGAGGGAGUGCUGGGAGGCAGAAAAAACCACUGGACUGGAGACUCUCUGUGCCCCUGAAAAGGAAACUGGACCAGUUUUGGGGAAGUUCCAGCUCCCAGGAUGUGAUGUGGAGACCCAGCCUCGAACAAAGUCAGGCCUGAAAAGGCUAACAACCCUGACCGCGGUGGCCUUGGAUUCCUGGCCAGAGUUGUCUUCAGCCAGUAGUUUGACCCGGAGAAAGAACAAAUAAAUCUUGUGCACCCCAUUGCAGUGCGUGUGGUGGUUGGUUACUGGUCGAUAUUAGAGCUACUUUCGAUUGCACUAUAUGUGUACUGUAUCACAUAACCUCUCUUCUACAAAAAUAUUUACAUCGUAUAGAACGGAAAAUAAAAAAGCCUGGAAUUAUUUGCUCUCUACAUAUAUGUACAUCAAAUGACUACAUUAAAAUAAUUACAUUACACAAUUUGAUCUCCUGAUCUCGAUAUUCCUGAGUCCACACUUGUUUAUAACAUGCACAUUUUGUUUAAAGGCUCUCAUCUGUAUCACAGACGUGUGUGGACACGGAGCGUUUUCAAAUCUAC